UAGCCGAAAGUGUAGAAUCAACACAGUGCACGUCCGCAAGGCUUGUUCUUUGUUUCUUUGGCGUGGUUGCAUACCAAAUUUUGCUUUCACUAAACUGUUUUAUUUACUAGCUGUACUGAACUAGGAACCAGAACAAACAAAGAGCUGAGAUCUACAGCACUGUACUCUGGUCUCCUGUUGAGCUUUCGAGCCAAGGCUAGCGCUAGCAGACAAGCGAGUUCUCGUGUGCUUGCGAGACUGGACGUGACUCAUCUCAUCCGCCAUGUUAGAUUGAUCAUCGGAAAGUAGGAAAUAGGUGAUCGGAAGAAGUUGCUGUGUAUGGUGGACGACUGUGCAUGUUAUUGCUCUUUUAAAAACUAGCCAUGAGCUGGGGAACUGAACUAUGGGAUCAAUGGGACAACAUAAAUGUCCACACUCAAAAGGGUAUCGACUUUUCGGAGCGGUACAUCCAUUUCCUGAAAGAGCGAAGCUCAGUGGAAAUGGAUUAUGCGAGCAAA
This is a long non-coding RNA of Aplysia californica (California sea hare), 497 nucleotides long. RefSeq lists it as uncharacterized. The transcript has 2 exons. The record is from RefSeq and is a predicted model, not a curated record. NCBI's taxonomy places the organism in Eukaryota, Metazoa, Mollusca, Gastropoda, Aplysiida, Aplysiidae.